UGCAAGUGGAACUAGUUGAACCAUCCCACUCAUGGUUAUCACUGUUUUGAGCUCCAUAUUAGUUUAAUCAGGUGUCUUGGAAAAUCCUAAUUGUGGAAAAGAGGUUAAGGAAGAUUCAGUCUAAAACUUUUGGCUGCUCAGCAUGCAGUGAGCUAAUUCUGUUGUCAUCAUGAUUAUCGCUGAGUUGAGCUUCACUCAAUCCUAGUAGUGAAAAUGAAGUGAAGGAAAAUGUGGUUGCACUAGUCUAUGCAUUCAAAUGGUAUUAGCAGUGGCUGUACUUGAUGUUGAGAUACGUUUUAAGUUGGGGACAAGGCUUGCAGAAUGUUAUAAACAGAAGAAGCUGCAAUGCUGCUUCAACUCAUGAGAAACAUAAUAAAUGAUUCAAGAAAAUUAAUUUAUAGGGUCCAUGCUUUAUAUUCCUCAUUUCCCCCCUUUGUUUAAAUAAAUACAUCCUUUCACAAGAAGUUUAGUUAAACCCAACAAACUAGCUUAUAAAGUACAAAGGUCAUACGAAAUUUAUACUUCCUUACAAGAGAUUUUUUUUCAUUUUCUGUCUUCAAAUUAUCUUUCUGUACAAUGUAUUUCAUUCUUUUCAUGCAUGGUUCUUUUGUUUGCUUCUAUAUUGCUUUUUGUGCUAUGCUGUUUAUAUGUUCAAUUUUUA
RNAcentral lists this unclassified non-coding RNA (661 nucleotides) under Hevea brasiliensis (rubber tree). Lineage: Eukaryota; Viridiplantae; Streptophyta; Magnoliopsida; Malpighiales; Euphorbiaceae. The record is from RNAcentral.